AGUUUAAUAAAGGACAGCAGGAGAAAAAGACAAUAAAGCAAAGAUUUAUGGCUGGGUGCUUGGCAUUCAGCCAGGAGCACACCUGCUAUUUUGGAAACACCCUUUAUAUCCCAUUCCUAUUGCAUCAGCCUGUUACAUAUUCAUAAGCAAUUAUGCAUAUUAAAACUUUUCCCCAAACUAGUUUACGUGUUUUAAGAAUUGUUUAGCAUGGCUCCUCCUCGGGUCUGCCUUUUUGGAGUAUUUCUUGGUUGUGGUUUUAGUCUGUUUUUGUUAUCCCCUUUAGUUUGGGCUUUGGUCUGUACUUUGUACCCAUGGCAAGUUUGAUAGUUGGCAAAUCAGCAGCAGGGGUCCUCUUCAUGUGUUCAUGGAAUGUUAUCUCAGCCAAGCAGGAAUUUUAACACAAGUUAAAAUUCUUCUACCAGUUAUUCCACUGCUAUGCCUAACAGAAAUAAAAACUACAUCUUUAUAGCAAAGUUACUUUAAUAUUAUACAUAAAGCACCCAUUUUAAUAUCUGUGACUUUGUGGGCUUUAUGUUGGGUAACUCUUUGAGGGCUCCCCUGACAGGGGAAAAUUUUUUUUUGAAGUAGUUUUUUGUUAGGAAAAGUAGAUGUAAAAGGCUUUUUUGGUCUUCAGGUUUUUGUUUUAUUGUUAUUUUAUUAAAACUUCAGCACACUGUCUGUAUUAGACUUUCUGUGUAUGAAAAACAGUAUAAAAAUGGCUAACAAUCUUUUGUUAUAAGGCUUUUAAAGUUUAAUUGAAAACUAAGUUACUUAAUUAAGAAGUGACAAUGAAAUUCAUUUUUUUAAACUUAAAAACUGAUUUUUAAGGACUUGUAAUGUGGAUUUUUCUACUUAAUCACAAGAUAUUCCUUAAACUUAUGAAGAAAGAGGAAGAAGAAGAAAGGAACUUAAGACAACACUUUAUAUUUGUUAUUUUGAACUUAUACUAAAAAUCUUAAAACUUAAAUUUUUUUUACUCAUGUGAUAUCCUACACUACUAUCUAUGAUUUUUACAAUCUAUUUCACACUUUUGUGGUUUCUAGUUUACCUUGAGGCUUUGGAAGUUUUCUCUAUGAAUGAGGGCUAAAAUCAGAGCUUCCCUGGGGGUCAGGACACCCCAGAGCAGACAGAGAAAUAUUCCCAGUGCCCUGGGUUUCCACAAAAGGCCAAUAUUAUAAUAUUUAUUUACAACAAUGUGGAUGCAGCCCCUCGGAUGGCCCAGCCCUGAUCCUGCUGCUGCAGCUCCAUCCCUGCCCGGGGACCUGGCUGUAAUUAACUGGCUAAUUAAGAGCUCGGUGCAGAUAAGCACGGGCCACAAUUCCUCAGAAAUCCUCACAAUUCCUCAAUCUCCCAGUGCCUGUGGCAGGCA
Molecule: long non-coding RNA, 1369 nt
Filed under: Taeniopygia guttata (zebra finch)
Lineage: Eukaryota; Metazoa; Chordata; Aves; Passeriformes; Estrildidae
Description: lncRNA (ENSTGUG00000020758.1)
Source: RNAcentral